Long non-coding RNA from Pipra filicauda (Wire-tailed manakin), 4555 nucleotides. RefSeq lists it as uncharacterized. The record is from RefSeq and is a predicted model, not a curated record. The transcript has 10 exons. Lineage: Eukaryota; Metazoa; Chordata; Aves; Passeriformes; Pipridae.
AGCCGCCCCUCCGUCCGUGCGCCCCGGCCCGGGCUCCGCGGGGAUCCGGCGCCAGGCCCGCGCCUAUCCCGGGAACACCGAUCCCGGGAACACAGCAACGCCUCUCCCGGGAAUACGGCAACGCCUCCCCCCCCCUCCCCAGCUUUACCUGCGCCGGGCUCGCAUCGCGGGGCCGGGGCCAGCGCUGCCCCCCCCGGCGCCCCUCGGCCGCCGCCCGCCCUCCCGCCGCCCUGCGCGGGGCCGCAGGUGUGUCAUGAGCGCCGAGCGGGCCCAGGUGAGCCGGGCACACCUACAGGAAGGCAGGCGGGCCGCCCUGAUUGGCGAGCGGGGCCGCGGCCGCGCUCCGACGGCACCGCGGCGGGGCAGGGCCGGGCCGGGCCGGGCAGGGCGGCCGAGGGGCCGCCGCGGGACACGGCGCGUCCUGUGCCCGCUCCUCUCCCCGCUCCUGCGCCCGGCCGGGAAAAGCCGCCCCCGACGCGUCCGAGCGCAAGGUACACUGGUAAAUAUCUUGAGCAGCCCUGCCUGCAUCAAAGAUUUGUUUGGCUGUGCUCAGCUGUGGACUGAAAGGAGACAGAACAUCGGUUCCCAGUAAAGGCUUGCACAGGUGUGUGUCCUCCAGGAUGUGCUCUGAGGAGUUCAGCAAAAGAGAGGAGGGAGCUUGGCCUGACCAGGGACAUCGUACUUGUGCUGCUGCCUUCUGAUUCCAUAACUCCUUUGUGUGGAUGUCUUUUCCCAGCAGAGUGGAUCAGCUUCUGCCAUUGAGAUUCCUAUUCCACAUCACUGUGUUUACAGUCAACAGUGAGGAAAGGGAUACUUCAAAUUCCCAAAGGUCACAAAAUACUGGGAAAUCAACUCUGGAUCAUGUCUCUCUUAGGUUGGUGCUCAAACUUCUGGGACAUUACAUAAAUAGGUGAUGCUUCUUCCUACUGCAUUUUAGAAGUUCCUAGCGCUGGCAGUAGGCUGGAAUUCCUCAUCCUGACUGGAAAACAGCACCUCUGUCAUUCAGAAAAGGGCAGCUCAUUGUCUAAGAAGGGCUUAAUCUUUAUAUCUGUCCUUGCACCUCCAGCAUCUGCAGAGGCAAUUUUCUGUUUGCUUUUGUGAAUCAUAUCCUGAGAUACCUUGCUUUCUCUGGCCAUUGCACAGAGAGUUUGAGUGCCUGACUUUUCUUCAUGCCUUACUUGGGUUGAAAAGUGCCUGAAGUUAAAAUGUGGAACUCUCAGUAUCACUACCUGUAUCCUUCUGUGGGCCAAGCUCUCAUUCCCUAACUUCGUGGGAACUGGACUCCCUAAAUUCUGUGUGGGCCUGUGCAAAAUGGCAGUGCCAUUGAAGUGCUUCUGCCAGUGACAAUGAAGAACAGGUGGGCUCCAAAAUCCCUGAGGCUGGCUGGCACUUCUGGAGACCAUCUAGCCCACCCCCUGGCUCAGAACAGAGUCAGCUGGAGCUGCCCAGCGCUGUGUCCAGUUGGGGUUUUAAUAUCUUGAGAGUCCACAGUCUCUCUGGGCAAUCUGGCCCAGUUUAACGAUCCUCAUGGUAAAAGAAACGGUUUUCUUAUGUUUAGAACAUCUGCAUAUCUGGAACCCUGCACAGGGUAAGCAGGAAGUCCCUCAUUUGUGGAAGUGAGCUUGGGCCGGACUUAGUCUGGGAAUCUGCUUCCGUGCCAGCUGUAGGUGCAGUUUUAAGGGUGAACUCCUGCUGUUGUCUGGCAGAGCCCUCACUUAUCCCAGAGUUAAUCUUCACUCAAGAUGAGGAUGGGCUGAUAAUACAUCUUUCUCUGAGAGCUGUGGUUUCAAAAAUUCAGCAGUUUCACUCCUGUGAUUUUGCAGUUUGUCUUCUGGAAGGGAUGUGUGGAAUAGAAACAAUGAAGAAGUAAGACCAAAGAAGACAGAAGCCCAGAGGCAAAAAAGACUCCAAACCUGCGUGCAGAGGAGCUUGACAGAGAAGAGGCUGUGCAUGGACAGUGGUACUGAUGACAAAUCCUCUUUGGUCCCUUUGGCUGUUCAGCCAUUAAUCUUUGGGAAAAGUGAGUGGCAGGAGCCUUUGCUGGAAGUGGCUGUGGGGCACAGCAAGCCUUGGCCAGGAGGAGCAGAAGAUAUUUUGCCGACUGAGUCAUGGGUUGAUUUUGGAGUUUUUUUAACUGCUUGUCAUUCCUGGAUGCAAUUCUGAGAUUAAAAAAAGCCAGUAUUUGCACAGCUUUUUGAUUUCUUGGGACAAACCCUAAAUAUAGAAGGGGUGGCUUUGUCCACAGUUUCAGCUGCUGCAGUCGUCAUCGUCAUAAAGGCAGGGAAACAGACCCAAGUGCACCAUGGAAGUUUCUCUUAGGCUGAGAAAAUAGGUGCUGCAGCUGAUGGGACAGUCUCUGCAAGAAGAUGACAGGCUGUUGGAAAAGACAGUGAGCAGAACACUGCACUGCAUGGCAAGGAACAAGGCUGGCAGCCACAUAUUUCUGGCAUGAGCCAACUUUCUCUUUUCUUGGAAGAGCAGAUACAGCCUUCAGCCAGUGAGGAAUGCCCCUGCUGGGAGAUGGCUGGCUUGAGCACUGAUGGCAAAGAAGGUGAAGCAUCAAGAGACUCAGAGCCUGAGGAAUUUCAGGAUCUUCUCGGGUUAAACUCAUUGAGAAAGGAAUUCACUUUUUCUCCACAUGCAUCAGUGGCUUGGUACACAGUGAGAUGCAAGGUGCAGGUGAAACCCACAGUCACAUUAACAUGAGCAGCUACAUCCCAUGUUUGCCAAAUGAAAGCAAGGGCCUGAAGCUCAGGCAGGAUGUGGCUGCCCUAAGGCAAACCCUGAAUGCUUUCACAUCAACCCUUGUGCUCCGAACGGGCCUGACCAUGCCAGGUAAUUCCUCAGAUUUAAGGGUCCAGAACAAACACCAUCAUGUUUUUCCAUCUCCUUUCACUUCUCUAAGAAUAUGAGGACUUGUGUUCAGUGAUUUUAAUUCUCUAUCUAGACACAGAGGGAAUUGUUCUGUUCUACUCCCUGCCCCCUGCAUUCCCAUUUCUGCUUCCCUUCUUGUAAUAAUUGUUAAAAUUGUUUUCAAUAAAGCAUCUUGUGGUUCAUUUUUGACCCUAGGUUCACAUAAAGGUUUGAUCAUCUGUCCAAUGAACUGGGAAGAUGCCUGCAAUCUCUCUAAUGCACACUACAUGUAAACUCUGUUUUUCCUGUUUCACUUGGUAUAUCUGCCUGCCUGAAGGCGGAGAGAAAUCAAAGGUCAGCUGUUAAAGAAAUCAGGCAAGAAAAGAAAGCAGUUGACCAGCAAAGAGGCAUCUUCUUAAGCACAACAGCCACGUGCAGAGCUGUGGGAAGAAACUUCAGUCCCUGUACUAGGAAAGAUCUGCUAAGGCUGGGAAAAGGAAAGUCCAAGGACAUAACAUAGGCCUGUCCAAAGCUCUGCCAUCUGUAAAGGCAGAGUUCUGCAUCCUUUGAGGUGAUUUGGGGUAAGCAAGGUGAGGCUGCUCUUUUGUGAGGGGAAACUCUGACAGAACAGGGAGCGACACAGAGAAGCCUCCUCUGUGGUUCUGUGCUUAAAGAUGGGAGGGCACAAACACCUGAACCAGGGCCAGGCAUUGCUCAGCAGGCUGUGGGAAAGGUCAGCUUGAGGGAAAGACACAGCAGGCAAUGCCCAAAGCAGCACAUGACCAGCAGCAGAGCAAUUGCAAGAGCUCUGGAAAGCAAAACAAAGUAAGUCCAGCUAAGUCCACCACAGGGUUUGCUGUGGUGGCAGAGUUAUUUUGAACAGCCUGUCCCUAUGGCUGUUUGGACAAGUCCCUUGGAAACAAGGAAACACAUGAGUUUGCACAUCUUUGCAUCCAUGAGGAUGUUUGGACCUGGUAUGUCCUGCUUUAAUCAACAGAUACUUUCAUCAGGGUUGGCAUGGGAAGGGUAAAGGCCCUGCAGAGCCUGGGACACAAAAGUGUAAGCAGCAAAGCAAAGUACUCCAGCAAUGCCUCUUCUAGCCUCCCUUUGCUUUGUUUCCUGAAAUUUCCUGUAUUUCCUUUUUUUUUUCAGAGAUGGAGGCUCCUCCUGUUGUGUCUCUGGCUAGUCAGACCAGUGUUGUUGGGGUAAAGGGAAAGCACAGCCAGAAAAAAGAGUCUCCUGUGCAUGCAGGGACACUUUUGUUUGUUUGAUGUAUCUCAAAAAAUGUGUUAGAGCUAACACAUAAAAUACUUAUUAAAAUUUAUUAAACACAGAAAAAACACACCUCUUUUCCAAGAUCAAAAGAAAUCUGUUUUCCCAGCCACAAACAAUGAAGCAAAGAAGAAUUUGAGAGUAAAAGCAGCCGUAUUUCAGUGAUCACUGUUACAUGUAUUUUUUUCAGCAGGGGACUGGACAACUGGAUCCCAUAUAACUCAGGUGGAAGAACUGCGAAAAUAAUCUCCUCAGAACAGCUGCAGCUCUGCUAGAACCAGGUUCAGGUACCACUAGGAUGGUUUGUCACUGCAGAGUAAAAAAGACAAACCACUUUCUCUCAUAAAGGAAUGGUGAGCAAGGAGUGCCCUCCUCUGGCUUUUCAGAUUCUUGCAGAAAUGUUAGAAAAUAAAGACUAAUUCUAAGAAUA